Molecule: long non-coding RNA, 943 nt
Filed under: Salmo salar (Atlantic salmon)
Lineage: Eukaryota; Metazoa; Chordata; Actinopteri; Salmoniformes; Salmonidae
Description: lncRNA (ENSSSAG00000084701.1)
Source: RNAcentral
UGGGGACUGCAGUUGUCUGUUGUUGUAGUAAGACUUGUGGGAUGCAUAUAUUAAUCAUCUAUCAUUGGCUCAAAGACUGGGCGCUAAAUGAAAGACCAGUCACACAAACUGGCUAAUUAUUCCUUUCAGUCCUAUUGGCUUUGUCUACAUAACAGAGACAGACAAGUUCAUGUCAUGGUCAUAGGCCCUGUGUUUGGUAGUAGGGGUGGGAAACUAACAUCUCUCUCUAGUCCUUCCUCCUUCAUUUAUGUAACGACCAAAUAAAAGGUGAGUACUUGUGAUUUUAAUGUACUUUUGUCAUCAAUAUAAUCCUUAGACUAUUCCUGGGGCGGCAGGUAGCCUAGUGGUCAGACGCAGGUAGCCUAGUGGUCAGAGGCAGGUAGCCUAGUGGUCAGAGGCAGGUAGCCUAGUGGUCAGAGGCAGGUAGCCUAGUGGUUAGAGGCAGGUAGCCUAGUGGUUAGAGGCAGGUAGCCUAGUGGUUAGAGGCAGGUAGCCUAGUGGUUAGAGGCAGGUAGCCUAGUGGUUAGAGGCAGGUAGCCUAGUGGUUAGAGCAUUGGGCCAGUAAUUGAAAGGUUGCUAGAUCAAAUCCCUGAGCUGACAAGGUAAAAAUCUGUUGUUCUGCCCCUGAACAAGGCAGUUAACCCACUGUUCCUAGGCCGUCAUUGUAAAUAAGAAUUUGUUCUUAACUGACUUGCCUGGUUUAAAAAAAAAUUAAAAAAAUAUUCCAUGAGAAAAGAUGUCUGAUGCUGUUAAAAUACAUUAUUACACAGUCAGCUGUUCUUUAAACUGCAUUUUUAAAGUAAACAAAUGUAACAAUUUAUUCGUAUCAUUUAAACUGUGGCUGAAACUGAUGACAGUCUGGCCCUGACUGAAGGAACACUGACAACCAGACAGGCUCCUUGCAACAGUGUGACAAUACGACGCAUGGCCACCACCCUCUCAC